UAUGUGUGCUACAAAUUGCAUA
RNAcentral lists this non-coding RNA (22 nucleotides) under Arabidopsis thaliana (thale cress). Lineage: Eukaryota; Viridiplantae; Streptophyta; Magnoliopsida; Brassicales; Brassicaceae. The record is from RNAcentral.